This 75-nucleotide transfer RNA is filed under the name Veillonella sp. Its description in RNAcentral is "tRNA-Gln". It matches the Rfam family "tRNA". From Rfam's summary of the family: Transfer RNA (tRNA) molecules are approximately 80 nucleotides in length. Their secondary structure includes four short double-helical elements and three loops (D, anti-codon, and T loops). RNAcentral also lists the same sequence under 2 other names. The record is from RNAcentral. Lineage: Bacteria; Bacillati; Bacillota; Negativicutes; Veillonellales; Veillonellaceae.
AGGGGUGUCGCCAAGCGGUAAGGCAACGGACUCUGACUCCGUCAUUCAAAGGUUCGAAUCCUUUUACCCCUGCCA